Molecule: ribosomal RNA, 637 nt
Filed under: Stenotrophomonas maltophilia
Lineage: Bacteria; Pseudomonadati; Pseudomonadota; Gammaproteobacteria; Lysobacterales; Lysobacteraceae
Description: bacterial SSU rRNA
Rfam family: Bacterial small subunit ribosomal RNA
Source: RNAcentral
ACACAUGCAAGUCGAACGGCAGCACAGGAGAGCUUGCUCUCUGGGUGGCGAGUGGCGGACGGGUGAGGAAUACAUCGGAAUCUACUCUGUCGUGGGGGAUAACGUAGGGAAACUUACGCUAAUACCGCAUACGACCUACGGGUGAAAGCAGGGGAUCUUCGGACCUUGCGCGAUUGAAUGAGCCGAUGUCGGAUUAGCUAGUUGGCGGGGUAAAGGCCCACCAAGGCGACGAUCCGUAGCUGGUCUGAGAGGAUGAUCAGCCACACUGGAACUGAGACACGGUCCAGACUCCUACGGGAGGCAGCAGUGGGGAAUAUUGGACAAUGGGCGCAAGCCUGAUCCAGCCAUACCGCGUGGGUGAAGAAGGCCUUCGGGUUGUAAAGCCCUUUUGUUGGGAAAGAAAUCCAGCCGGCUAAUACCCGGUUGGGAUGACGGUACCCAAAGAAUAAGCACCGGCUAACUUCGUGCCAGCAGCCGCGGUAAUACGAAGGGUGCAAGCGUUACUCGGAAUUACUGGGCGUAAAGCGUGCGUAGGUGGUCGUUUAAGUCCGUUGUGAAAGCCCUGGGCUCAACCUGGGAACUGCAGUGGAUACUGGGCGACUAGAGUGUGGUAGAGGGUAGCGGAAUUCCUGGUGUA